CUUAUUAAAACCAUUUACGCGUUUCACCUUUGGGGUUUUCUCAAAAUGGUAAAAGAACAAUACACCUGGCAAGGAACUGACUUUAUAAGUAAACAGAGAUUGAAUAUGGCGCCAAGAUUUUAGUGCACCAAUCACAAACAAGUUUUAAAACAAAACAUUAAAUACAUUUCAAAUUAACUUUAAAAUGUUAUAGGUACAUUAGUGUAAGGCUAAUUGGGCUUGG
Molecule: non-coding RNA, 223 nt
Organism: Pelobates cultripes (western spadefoot toad)
Lineage: Eukaryota; Metazoa; Chordata; Amphibia; Anura; Pelobatidae
Source: the annotation of a GenBank genome assembly